AGUCGACGGUGAAGCCAGCUUGCUUGGUGGAUCAGUGGCGAACGGGUGAGUAACACGUGAGCAACCUGCCCUGAACUCUGGGAUAAGCGCUGGAAACGGCGUCUAAUACUGGAUAUGAGCUGCGGAGGCAUCUUCGUGGUUGGAAAGAUUUUUCGGUUUGGGAUGGGCUCGCGGCCUAUCAGCUUGUUGGUGAGGUAAUGGCUCACCAAGGCGUCGACGGGUAGCCGGCCUGAGAGGGUGACCGGCCACACUGGGACUGAGACACGGCCCAGACUCCUACGGGAGGCAGCAGUGGGGAAUAUUGCACAAUGGGCGGAAGCCUGAUGCAGCAACGCCGCGUGAGGGAUGACGGCCUUCGGGUUGUAAACCUCUUUUAGCAGGGAAGAAGCGAAAGUGACGGUACCUGCAGAAAAAGCGCCGGCUAACUACGUGCCAGCAGCCGCGGUAAUACGUAGGGCGCAAGCGUUAUCCGGAAUUAUUGGGCGUAAAGAGCUCGUAGGCGGUUUGUCGCGUCUGCUGUGAAAACCCGAGGCUCAACCUCGGGCCUGCAGUGGGUACGGGCAGACUAGAGUGCGGUAGGGGAGAUUGGAAUUCCUGGUGUAGCGGUGGAAUGCGCAGAUAUCAGGAGGAACACCGAUGGCGAAGGCAGAUCUCUGGGCCGUAACUGACGCUGAGGAGCGAAAGGGUGGGGAGCAAACAGGCUUAGAUACCCUGGUAGUCCACCCCGUAAACGUUGGGAACUAGUUGUGGGGUCCAUUCCACGGAUUCCGUGACGCAGCUAACGCAUUAAGUUCCCCGCCUGGGGAGUACGGCCGCAAGGCUAAAACUCAAAGGAAUUGACGGGGACCCGCACAAGCGGCGGAGCAUGCGGAUUAAUUCGAUGCAACGCGAAGAACCUUACCAAGGCUUGACAUACACGAGAACGCUGCAGAAAUGUAGAACUCUUUGGACACUCGUGAACAGGUGGUGCAUGGUUGUCGUCAGCUCGUGUCGUGAGAUGUUGGGUUAAGUCCCGCAACGAGCGCAACCCUCGUUCUAUGUUGCCAGCACGUAAUGGUGGGAACUCAUGGGAUACUGCCGGGGUCAACUCGGAGGAAGGUGGGGAUGACGUCAAAUCAUCAUGCCCCUUAUGUCUUGGGCUUCACGCAUGCUACAAUGGCCGGUACAAAGGGCUGCAAUACCGCGAGGUGGAGCGAAUCCCAAAAAGCCGGUCCCAGUUCGGAUUGAGGUCUGCAACUCGACCUCAUGAAGUCGGAGUCGCUAGUAAUCGCAGAUCAGCAACGCUGCGGUGAAUACGUUCCCGGGUCUUGUACA
This 1314-nucleotide ribosomal RNA is filed under the name Microbacterium aurantiacum. RNAcentral's name for it is "partial 16S ribosomal RNA". It matches the Rfam family "Bacterial small subunit ribosomal RNA", at positions 60 to 1387 of the family's 1533-position model. Lineage: Bacteria; Bacillati; Actinomycetota; Actinomycetes; Micrococcales; Microbacteriaceae. The record is from RNAcentral.